GACGAACGCUGGUGGCGUGCUUAACACAUGCAAGUCGAACGGUAAGGCCCUUCGGGGUACACGAGUGGCGAACGGGUGAGUAACACGUGGGUGAUCUGCCCUGCACUUCGGGAUAAGCCUGGGAAACUGGGUCUAAUACCGGAUAGGACCACUGCCUGCAUGGGUGGUGGUGGAAAGCUUUUGCGGUGUGGGAUGGGCCCGCGGCCUAUCAGCUUGUUGGUGGGGUGAUGGCCUACCAAGGCGACGACGGGUAGCCGGCCUGGGAGGGUGACCGGCCACACUGGGGCGGAGAUACGGCCCAGUUUGCGACGGGAGGCAGCAGGGGGGUAUAUUGCACAAUGGGCGCAAGCCUGAUGCAGCGACGCCGCGUGAGGGAUGACGGUCUUCGAGUUGUAAACCUCUUUCAGCACCGACGAAGCGCAAGUGACGGUAGGUGCAGAAGAAGGACCGGCCAACUACGUGCCAGCCGCCGCAGUAA
RNAcentral lists this ribosomal RNA (478 nucleotides) under uncultured bacterium. RNAcentral describes it as "partial 16S ribosomal RNA". It matches the Rfam family "Bacterial small subunit ribosomal RNA", at positions 28 to 523 of the family's 1533-position model. The record is from RNAcentral.